This 478-nucleotide ribosomal RNA is filed under the name uncultured bacterium. RNAcentral describes it as "partial 16S ribosomal RNA". It matches the Rfam family "Bacterial small subunit ribosomal RNA", at positions 28 to 507 of the family's 1533-position model. The record is from RNAcentral.
GAUGAACGCUAGCGGCAGGCCUAACACAUGCAAGUCGGGGGAGAAGCCCUUUCGGGGGCAGAAACCGGCGCACGGGUGCGUAACGCGUAUGCAACCUACCUUUCACAGGGGGAUAGCCCGAAGAAAUUUGGAUUAAUACCCCAUAAUAUUAUUGGAUGGCAUCAUUUGAUAAUUAAAACUGCGGUGGUGAAAGAUGGGCAUGCGUCCUAUUAGCUAGUUGGAGUGGUAACGGCACCCCAAGGCUACGAUAGGUAGGGGUCCUGAGAGGGAGAUCCCCCACACUGGUACUGAGACAGGGACCAGACUCCUACGGGAGGCAGCAGUGAGGAAUAUUGGUCAAUGGUCGGAAGACUGAACCAGCCAUGCCGCGUGCAGGAAGAAUGCCUUAUGGGUUGUAAACUGCUUUUAUAUGGGAAGAAUAAGGCGUACGUGUACGUUGAUGACGGUACCAUAUGAAUAAGCAUCGGCUAACUCCGUG